RNAcentral lists this ribosomal RNA (274 nucleotides) under uncultured bacterium. Its description in RNAcentral is "partial 16S ribosomal RNA". It matches the Rfam family "Bacterial small subunit ribosomal RNA", at positions 523 to 796 of the family's 1533-position model. The record is from RNAcentral.
AUACGGAGGAUCCGAGCGUUAUCCGGAUUUAUUAGGUUUAAAGGGUGCGCAGGCGGGAAGAUAAGUCAGCGGUGAAAUCCCGGAGCUCAACUCCGGAACUGCCGUUGAUACUGUUUUUCUUGAGUGCGGUUGAGGUAGGCGGAAUGUGCAGUGUAGCGGUGAAAUGCUUAGAUAUUGCACAGAACACCGAUUGCGAAGGCAGCCUGCUAAACCGUAACUGACGCUGAGGCACGAAAGCGCGGGGAGCGAACAGGAUUAGAAACCCUAGUAGUCC